This 280-nucleotide long non-coding RNA is filed under the name Apteryx owenii (little spotted kiwi). Its description in RNAcentral is "lncRNA (ENSAOWG00000002892.1)". The record is from RNAcentral. Lineage: Eukaryota; Metazoa; Chordata; Aves; Apterygiformes; Apterygidae.
GAGAAGGGUGAGACUUUCCAUUGAGUUGAUUGGCCUCCAUUCUACAAGCCUUUCGAAGGAGCUCUACUUUGUUCUGUGUCUAACAGGUAUUAGCAGAGAAUUUCAGUGUAUCCUUCUGGAAGUCUUUUCAAUAAGAUCAACUGAACCAGCUGCAGGCACAGCUCUGGAAUAGGGUCAGAUCAAUACUGAACUCUUCAGGUGGAUAUCAGUAAAAUGAAAUAUGGAAGAAAGGAGAGCUGAGGUUCUGGGGAUUUAAUAGUAUGUUUUUCUUUGUUUGCUA